ACCUGACUGGCUCAGUUGGUAGAGCGUGUGAUUCUUGAUCUCAGGGUUGUGAGUUUGAGCCCCACGUUACUUA
RNAcentral lists this transfer RNA (73 nucleotides) under Ailuropoda melanoleuca (giant panda). It matches the Rfam family "tRNA". Rfam says of the family: Transfer RNA (tRNA) molecules are approximately 80 nucleotides in length. Their secondary structure includes four short double-helical elements and three loops (D, anti-codon, and T loops). Lineage: Eukaryota; Metazoa; Chordata; Mammalia; Carnivora; Ursidae. The record is from Rfam by way of RNAcentral.